RNAcentral lists this long non-coding RNA (537 nucleotides) under Struthio camelus australis. RNAcentral's name for it is "lncRNA (ENSSCUG00000017987.1)". Lineage: Eukaryota; Metazoa; Chordata; Aves; Struthioniformes; Struthionidae. The record is from RNAcentral.
UAUCUCUUUCCAGUUAUGGUCAUGGUGCUUACGUAGGAUCUCAGCUACACUGAAGUACAUGCUUAAAGCUUGACUGUGGACUCUGCAGAGGACUGUCAGUGCACUUCAGUGGUGCGCAGAGACAGCUAGCAAGGACUAGACUUGGUUCAGAAGAGUAUGGCCUCACGUUAGAUGAAGGCAGAAUCAUGGGAUGGCUCUGUCUCUACCUCAUACAGGUUCCACGUUAAGCGCUACGUUAGGCGUUCAAGAUUGCAAACUCCUUUUCCACAGCUAUCUAACCCUGGAAGGCUUCACUGAGCUUCUCCUUGCGUUACUGGAAAAUCCUUAGGAUCUCAGCUUAAUCAGUGGUUCUGGAAUUGGACGUGUGCAUUUCCAGUCCUGCAGUAUAUGGGGAAUACACUGGAAAAUAUCAUGUGCGUUACAUCUGAUCACUGUGGAACUAUUUUCCUGGAAUGGAAAAUACCAGGAAGUUGCUCAAAAGCUAGAGCCGUAACUAAUCUUAAUUCCUUUAUGUAGCAUACCUUAACUUUUUAGAUU